Molecule: long non-coding RNA, 1117 nt
Organism: Zonotrichia albicollis (white-throated sparrow)
Lineage: Eukaryota; Metazoa; Chordata; Aves; Passeriformes; Passerellidae
Source: Ensembl
UGGUCCAAGGUCAAUGAUGACCGGUCAUGACCCAAUGGUGACCGGUCUUGGUCCAAUGUCCGGUCGUGACCCAAUGGUGACCGGUCCUGGCUCAGCGGUGACCGGUCCUGGGUCAAUGUCCAGUCUUGACCCAACGAUGACCGGUCAUGACCCAAUGGUGACCGGUCUUGGUCCAAUGUCCGGUCUUGACCCAAUGGUGACCGCUCUUGGUCCAAUGUCCGGUCUUGACCCAACGAUGGCCGGUCGUGACCCAAUGGUGACCGGUCCAGGGUCAAUGUCCGGCCUUGUCCCCUUGGGGUCAUUUCCAGUGACGUCCCUUUGGCCGUUGACCUUUCUUGACCCAAUGGUGACCGGUCUUGGUCCAAUGUCCGGUCUUGACCCAACGAUGGCCGGUCGUGACCCAAUGGUGACCGGUCCUGGGUCAACAGUGACCGGUCCUGGGUCAAUGUCCGGCCUUGACUCAAUGGUGACCGGUCUUGACCCAACGAUGGCCGGUCUUGACCCAAUGGUGACCGGUCCAGGGUCAAUGUCCGGCCUUGUCCCCUUGGGGUCAUUUCCAGUGACAACGGUGACAAUGACCUGUCGUGACCCAACGAUGACCGGUCUCGGGUCAACGAUGACCAAUCUUGGGUCACUGUCCACUCUUGACCCAACGGUGACCGGUCUGGGGUCAAUGUCCGGCCCUGACCCCAUGGGGUCAUCUCAAGGGACAACGGUGACGUCACUUGGGCCGUUGACCUUGUUUGGGUCAACGAUGACCAGUCCUGACCCAACGAUGACCGGUCUUGGGUCAAUAUUGACCGGUCUGGGGUCAAUGUCCGGUCUUGGGUCAGUAUUGACCGGUCUUGGGUCAAUGUCCACUCUCGACCCAACGAUGACCGGUCCUGGCUCAAUGUUGAGUCUUGGGUCAACAAUGACCGGUCUGGGGUCAAUGUCCGGUCUUGACCCAACGCUGACCACUCUUGGCCCAACGAUGACCGCUCUUGGCUCAAUGUCCACUCUUGACCCAACGUUGACCUCUCUUGACCCAACGAUGACCGCUCUUGGCCCAAUGUCCGUUCUUGACCCAACGCUGACCGUUCUUGACCCAAUGUCCACUCUUGACCCAACGUUGACC